GGGGUUGUGGCUCAGUGGUAGAGUGCUCACCUAGCACAUGUGAAGCACUGGGUUCAAACCUCAGCACCACA
Molecule: transfer RNA, 71 nt
Filed under: Marmota monax (woodchuck)
Lineage: Eukaryota; Metazoa; Chordata; Mammalia; Rodentia; Sciuridae
Description: tRNA.Ala
Rfam family: tRNA
About the family: Transfer RNA (tRNA) molecules are approximately 80 nucleotides in length. Their secondary structure includes four short double-helical elements and three loops (D, anti-codon, and T loops). Further hydrogen bonds mediate the characteristic L-shaped molecular structure. tRNAs have two regions of fundamental functional importance: the anti-codon, which is responsible for specific mRNA codon recognition, and the 3' end, to which the tRNAs corresponding amino acid is attached (by aminoacyl-tRNA synthetases). tRNAs cope with the degeneracy of the genetic code in two manners: having more than one tRNA (with a specific anti-codon) for a particular amino acid; and 'wobble' base-pairing, i.e. permitting non-standard base-pairing at the 3rd anti-codon position.
Source: RNAcentral